GACGAACCGUGCAAACGUUAUUCGGAAUUACUGGGCUUGAAGCGCACGUAGGCGGCGUUGUAAGUGUCGGGUGAAAUCCCACGGCUCACCCGUGGAACUGCCCGGCAUACUGCGAUGCUAGAGUGUGGUAGGGGAGAGCGGAACUCCUGGUGGAGCGGUGAAAUGCGUAGAUAUCAGGAGGAACACCGGUGGCGAAGGCGGCUCUCUGGUCCACAACUGACGCUGAGGUGCGAAAGCUAGGGGAGCAAACGGG
This 253-nucleotide ribosomal RNA is filed under the name uncultured bacterium. Its description in RNAcentral is "partial 16S ribosomal RNA". It matches the Rfam family "Bacterial small subunit ribosomal RNA", at positions 524 to 776 of the family's 1533-position model. The record is from RNAcentral.